UACGAAGGUCCCAAGCGUUAUCCGGAUUUAUUGGGUUUAAAGGGUGCGUAGGCGGGCUAUUAAGUCAGCGGUGAAAGCCUUCAGCUUAACUGAAGAAUUGCCAUUGAUACUGAUAGUCUUGAGUAUGAUUGAGGUGGGCGGAAUGUGUCAUGUAGCGGUGAAAUGCUUAGAUAUGACACAGAACACCAAUUGCGAAGGCAGCUCACUAAGCCAUAACUGACGCUGAUGCACGAAAGCGUGGGGAGCAAACAGG
Molecule: ribosomal RNA, 253 nt
Filed under: uncultured bacterium
Lineage: Bacteria
Description: partial 16S ribosomal RNA
Rfam family: Bacterial small subunit ribosomal RNA
Source: RNAcentral